This is a long non-coding RNA of Triticum dicoccoides, 1063 nucleotides long. RefSeq lists it as uncharacterized. The record is from RefSeq and is a predicted model, not a curated record. Lineage: Eukaryota; Viridiplantae; Streptophyta; Magnoliopsida; Poales; Poaceae. The transcript is spliced from 2 exons.
CCCAAGAUCCCGUCGCGUUCAUCAGCACUCCUUCGCGUUUGGCUGCUCUAGCGAGCGCUACCUAAUUAACUCCUCGGUCGAUUGAUUUUCCAUCAAAUUUCUCCAUCUUCUACACCGAUGUCGUUUCUUCUUCUCCACCAAAUAAAUUGAGUAAUAGAUGGGGUUCCCCUUGUGGAUGUUGUGCAUGCCUCUGCGAUCCCCUGGUCCUCCUCUCGCCUAUGUGUCUCAGUUUUGGCCAAGGUGCCUCCGGCGUCGCUGGGAAGGUUGGUUCCAGCCAGUUUCACUAGAAUUGGACCGACAGUUGAUGUCCGGGGCUGGCUUCAUUUCCGGUUUGGAAAGAUGUUGUGGUGGCGACCCGGGCUCAGCCAUAUGGACUGGACGCGACUGCUGUCCAUCCCGACUGUGCGCCAUCCUCGGCCAGAGUACAGCUCCUCCCGCUGGUGCGACCCCGGCUGAUUCAGCCAUGAGAAGUUCUUCCCUUUUUUGUUGCUGGUGGAUUUGCUGCCAAUGACUACAUCAACGCCAUUUGUUAGCUUUAAGGUAACCUAAAACUCAGUUAGUAUGUUGGCGAACACCCGUUUGAGGCUACAGGUCAGCGUGAGAUUAUGUAAUUCAGCCUAUCUGAAUUCUAUUACAGUAUAAGUUGUUAGUUAUUAUUACGCGUAGAUGCCACUUAACUUAAACUGGAAGAAGAUGAUGUAUAAUCCAACUGAUCGGAAGGAUGAUCUGAUUGCACAUCAGAUCACCCACUGAAUUUGUGUUGUCGAAUUGCAGUUCUGUCAUCUACGCAACCGUAACAGGCGGUCAAGCCAGCCCCAUCUCUUCAGUUACUGGUACAAUUGAUCUUAUUGUUCGUAGCCAUUGAAGUUGGACGCCACUUAGCUGGGACCAAUAAUUAUGAUUCAUCCAUCUUUUGGUUUAUUAGUUCUCUACAUUUUUUAAGCCAGGGAAUCUUUUCAGAGGAAUCCAAUACUGCAUGGAAAAUCAGAUGUUGCAAUAUUCAAUGCAGAUUCAGCGGCAAAUUCAUACCUAAAGUGAACACAAAGAUCUCAUUUUCCUAUUG